UCAAAUCACUCUAAGACUCCCACAUCUAGCAGAAACCAUCCCUACUCUGCCAUACUCAUGCCAUACAGCACCAGCAAAAUCCCACCCAGGAUGGCUAUUGCUAAGCAAUGUGAUCACAUCACCUUACACUUUUAUGACUGCAUAGUUAACAAUAGGGACUCUAUUCCCAAUUACCAUCAUUGACAAGGACUAUCUGUAGUGAAGUUUUAGAAUUUGAUCAUGUGACAUCCAUGGCUGCCUCCAUUGUUAACUAUCUCCAUAGCAAUGGAUUACAACACAAGACAUUUCAAGCAUGUCUUCAAGAAGCAGAAUAUAAUGGCUUAAUUUCUCACAUGGAAAUAAGAUGGCUGAGUCGAGGAUGCAUAUUUUAGAAUUUCAUUACUAUAAAAGACGAAGUAACAAAAUUUAUAGCAAAUGAACUGAGAAAAUUCAAAGACCUUGAAGAUGAAGAAUGGAACUAUGACUUUUCUUUUGUGAUGUCUCAACUCAUAUAAAUAAUGUGAAUCUGCAGCUUCAAAGAAAAUACUGUAUCAAUUCAUCUUUAAAAUGUAUGAUUCAAUAAAAGCAUUUAAAAUGAGAUUGUUAUUUUUUCAAAGGAUAUUGAAAAGAGCUUUGAAAAGGAUCUUUCCUACUUGUACUCAGCAUAUUCCUAAUGCAAGCUCACUGAGAUAUACAUCUGGAACUGCUGGAUGACCUCGUGGUGGAAGGUCUUAUACCCAGGGGGAGGAGUCAGGAGAUAACAGACCAAAACCUGGGAGGUGCUGAUGAGAAUAGCAGAUCUAGCAAAAUUAUCUGUUUACCACUUUGGAUGGUGAGAGACAAAUUAAAUAUUGCAUUGACAACAGA
Molecule: non-coding RNA, 846 nt
Organism: Pantherophis guttatus
Lineage: Eukaryota; Metazoa; Chordata; Lepidosauria; Squamata; Colubridae
Source: RefSeq, a predicted model, not a curated record